GGGCCAGAACCGCGAUCUCCGCAACCUUGAGCGGUAUCCGUGGAGUGCGCCUGCGCAGCUAAGACCACAGCAGGAAAGCGCCGCCGGCCAGGCCCAGCUGUGGCCGGACAGCGACUGGAAGAGAGGACGCGGUCGAGAAGAAGGAUGGAGGAGAGCAGUGUGGGAGAAGAACAUGAAGAUGAUUGAACUGCACAAUCAGGAAUACCGGGAAGGGAAACACAGCUUCACAAUGGCCAUGAACGCCUUUGGAGACAUGACCAGUGAAGAAUUCAGGCAGGUGAUGAAUGGCUUUCAAAACCGUAAGCCCAGGAAGGGGAAAGUGUUCCAGGAACCUCUGUUUUAUGAGGCCCCUAGAUCUGUGGAUUGGAGAGAGAAAGGCUACGUGACUCCUGUGAAGAAUCAGGGUCAGUGUGGUUCUUGUUGGGCUUUUAGCGCUACUGGUGCUCUUGAAGGACAGAUGUUCCGGAAAACUGGGAAGCUUAUCUCACUGAGUGAGCAGAAUCUGGUAGACUGCUCUGGGCCUCAAGGCAAUGAGGGCUGCAAUGGUGGCCUAAUGGAUUAUGCCUUCCAGUAUGUUCAGGAUAAUGGAGGCCUGGACUCUGAGGAAUCCUAUCCAUAUGAGGCAACAGAAGAAUCCUGUAAGUACAAUCCCAAGUAUUCUGUUGCUAAUGACACCGGCUUUGUGGACAUCCCUAAGCAGGAGAAGGCCCUGAUGAAGGCAGUUGCAACUGUGGGGCCCAUUUCUGUUGCUAUUGAUGCAGGUCAUGAGUCCUUCCUGUUCUAUAAAGAAGGCAUUUAUUUUGAGCCAGACUGUAGCAGUGAAGACAUGGAUCAUGGUGUGCUGGUGGUUGGCUACGGAUUUGAAAGCACAGAAUCAGAUAACAAUAAAUAUUGGCUGGUGAAGAACAGCUGGGGUGAAGAAUGGGGCAUGGGUGGCUACGUAAAGAUGGCCAAAGACCGGAGAAACCAUUGUGG
This 975-nucleotide small RNA is filed under the name Pongo abelii (Sumatran orangutan). RNAcentral's name for it is "processed transcript". Lineage: Eukaryota; Metazoa; Chordata; Mammalia; Primates; Hominidae. The record is from RNAcentral.